GCCAGUGUGGUGUAGCGGUUUGAAUGUUGGACUAUGGCUCAGGAGACCAGGGUUUGAUUCCCUGCUUGGGCA
Molecule: transfer RNA, 72 nt
Filed under: Phrynosoma platyrhinos (Desert horned lizard)
Lineage: Eukaryota; Metazoa; Chordata; Lepidosauria; Squamata; Phrynosomatidae
Description: tRNA-OTHER
Source: RNAcentral